CCUGCCUGAGUCCCUCUGUGGAUCUGAUCCUCUGCAGUAACCCUGCAGGGCUGAUACCCAAACCACCUCCCUGCUCUGUGACUCAGUUCCCCACCGAACAGAGGAGCUGAUAAUCUCGGGAUCUUUGGGAGGAGGAUUUUACCGUUCUGAAGGUUAAAAAGAGGCAAGCAGCUGUUCCCAUGCCUCAGCAGCACAAACACCUCGAGCCUUCGAACGAGAGGAAUCAGUGGGACAGCGGCGAGGGAGCGCUUGGGCUGCUGCCAAAAGGAUUCCGGCAGCGAGCCCGGCUCGGAGCCGCUGAUCUGGGGAAUCUCUGGAGCCUUUCGCAAGGCGAGUGUCACAGACAGGUACCCUGGGACACGGAAAGGGGAAGAGCAUUUGCCUGGGCAGGAAGGCUGCGUCAGUGCCAGGAAUAGCAGCCCGGUGUCCCGUGACCCAGCUGUGCUGCUCAGAAAUGAGAUAAAGCUGUCGCUGCCAGCCUGGGGACAGCGCUGGGGACAGCGCCACAGCCCCGCAGCCAGCCCUGCAGCGCUGCCCGGGGCUGAGCGGGGUUCUCCAGCACGGGGAAAAGGCUCCCAGCCCUCCCUCCAUGAGAAAAACAUCUCUUGGUGUUUUCUGUACGAGCAGAAUGAUCGCGGAGCUGCUGGAGCUGUCCCCGCGGUGCAGCGGCCGCCCCGCGCUCCGAGCGCGUCUCACACUUUCCCCGCAGCCUUCUCGCUUUCUGGGGUGUAAGACUUCGAGCCUUGGACAACAGCAAAACCACUCAAUUAUGUUUUCACCCUGCCUGCCUUGAAAAGCCCGGAGUGUGCCCGGUGCGACCACAGCCAAGGGAACGCAGGAGCCCAGGAUAAAUUCCAAACAAAAGAGCCAUUAUCCAUAUGGGACCUCGUGAGUGCUUCACAUACUCCAGCAAUUCCGAGCACUCCGUGUAUGGUUCUUACUCGGUUUUAACUCGAUUUCUUUGAUAUGCAAAUCAGAGGGAUUAUAUUCAGAGGCUGCACCAGAAAGUCUUUAAUCCAAAUGGGCUAUAAGAUUUAUUUAGAAGAGCCAAAUGUCUUGUCUGGGACAGAAGCAACUGAGCUGAACUGAAACAGAUGGACAUAAAGGAAAUUAAGCAACUCUAAUGGUCUUAUCCAGAGUUUGAAAGUAUUUGGUCUUCCUAAAGCUUGAGUUCCUGGAAGCACGUGAUGAGACGGGAAGCUCAGGUUUCACUUAAAAACAGGCUUUGCAGUUCACUGAGAAAAACAAUAACCAUGUUUUUAUUCCUCCCGUGGACAGAACGAGGGCUGCCUUCCAAAUCCUGACUCCUUGGGCUUAUAUCAUCAGGGGACAAGAUACUGAAUGGGAGUUUUGGAGUCCUCAUUUUUACAGCCCUGUCAUUUCAGCAGCCUGCAUUCAGGAUUUUGGGAAACCUGAUGCUGGCAAUAGGGAUCCCAGGUAGUUUGUUUACUGAAACAGGGAAAAUCCAUCCCUUGAGUCUGCUGUUUGUCCCUUGAAAUGUUCUGCUGUUUCUGGUGGUGAUUUUUAGAUCUCACCUACCUGAGGCUGGGGUUUAACCAGGACACCAGCACUGCCAAGGUCACCUCCAGCAGUUGUGGAUGCAGCAAACCCAGAGUGCACAUCUUGGAUGCUGAUAAACCAGUGGGCUGGAAACCUGGAGAGCUCGGGCUGUCCCCCAGGAUCUCACAUGUCUCCACCUCUGCUGAGGUCAGGAGAUUUUCAGUCGGCAGAAGAGCCUUCCCUGGAAUGUUUGGAUGUGUUUGGCUCUGGAUAGUCUGCACAGACAGCAGAACAGAUAUGAGGACACAUCCCCUGCCAUCCCAUCAGGGCAUUUCUGAUGCUAAAGAUGCAUCAGAUGCAUAAAAAUCUCUUGUGGAGAAAAGUUGAGGUGAGUUGGUUCUACCACCUACAGCUUUUAGGUGCUAAAUAAUAAGGCUGAAUUCUUUUUGCUUCCUGAGGCUCUUGACCACUGCCCAGUGGUCAAGGAGAUCCCAUGGACAGUCUCAACCAGGGAAAUGCUGUUGCAGCUGAAACUCCGUAUAAAAACUGGGAAAAGUCCUUCUAUUCUCAACCCAAAGCCAUCCCCUGCUUGGGUCUCCCAGGGAAGCAUCCAAAGCAGGGACAUUUCAUGUGUUUGUGCAUUUGCCAUCCUUCACUCCAGUGCCUUUGCAAGUGGAUUAAAUAAAAGGUGAGAGAAUUGGGGACAAGGGGAGGGGAGGGAGUGUGAGAAGGAGCUCAUCCAUUACUAUGCCCUGCACAAUGCAGGAGGUCUUGGCCUCCUGGUUUGAGUGCUUAUUCCCCAUAAAAUACAUCUGAGAGAAAUCAAUACAAGAAGCAUGCCAGAACUUAAAUCAAAGCACAAGGAAGCAGCGCUUGGCGGAUGGAACGACCUUGCAGAGAGCUGUCCAAACCGAGGCCCCAGCCCUGGUGAGCACAGAACCUGCCAGGAAAAAACCCUGGAAUGAGGACUUGAGGCUGGCAUGUGCUGCCUUGGCAUGGCUUUCACUCUGAUGUCCGCAGUGGAAAGCACAUGGAUGAGAGACGUUGGUUGUGAGCUGGAUAAACGGCACGAGGGCAAAGUGCCAGGAGGCUCCUGGGGCAGCCAGGAGAGCUGACGUGCUCUGUGCUGCCCCUUUGGGCUCCUCAAGUACCUCAGAGAUAACGAGGCAGGGGUGGAAGCCAGCUUGGAGACACAGAAAAUGCUCCCCACAACCUUGGUCCCUGGGGUCCCAGAGCAGGCACCCAGCUCCACCAGCUCCACGUCCUGCUGAGCUCAGCAGAGGAUGGAGGGCAGUGUCCAGCAUCCAGGUCCUGCCUCCCUCUGGGAUCUGCCAGCUCCCCAGGCAGGUGCCUGACCUUGGUGGCAGGUCACAGCACCAUACCACAGACAUCAUAAAUCUGCAAAAGUUUGCUGCAGCCAGGCUCCACCUCUGCAGACGGCGGGGCACUUGUUCCCAUGCUGGGAAAUCUGACCCCUCGGUAGCCUGAGAGACAGGAGAAGCCUGGGUUUGGUGUUUUGAAUAAGUGGCUUUUUAUCUGAAAUCCCUUUGGGAGCAUGAGCUCAGUAACCAAUGAAAUUAUAUCUGUUGUUUCAAGCAGUGAAGAAAACUUGGCUUGAUGUUUAUUGAGAUUUAUGGCUUCCCUUGAGCUUAAUUGUCUUUGGGAGCCCUGGAUCUUUUUAACGGUUCAGCUAAGUGGUACUAAGAAGGAUGGUAAUGGUUUGAGCAGUCUGCCCCCUUAACAUAUCUCUUUCUCUCACACAAUUUGCUGAUAUUUGGGAAAUACAGCUGAUACCCUUCCCUCCUGA
This is a long non-coding RNA of Parus major (Great Tit), 3307 nucleotides long. RefSeq lists it as uncharacterized. The transcript has 2 exons. Lineage: Eukaryota; Metazoa; Chordata; Aves; Passeriformes; Paridae. The record is from RefSeq and is a predicted model, not a curated record.